RNAcentral lists this ribosomal RNA (822 nucleotides) under Campylobacter coli. RNAcentral describes it as "bacterial SSU rRNA". It matches the Rfam family "Bacterial small subunit ribosomal RNA", at positions 708 to 1533 of the family's 1533-position model. Lineage: Bacteria; Pseudomonadati; Campylobacterota; Epsilonproteobacteria; Campylobacterales; Campylobacteraceae. The record is from RNAcentral.
CAUUGCGAAGGCGAUCUGCUGGAACUCAACUGACGCUAAGGCGCGAAAGCGUGGGGAGCAAACAGGAUUAGAUACCCUGGUAGUCCACGCCCUAAACGAUGUACACUAGUUGUUGGGGUGCUAGUCAUCUCAGUAAUGCAGCUAACGCAUUAAGUGUACCGCCUGGGGAGUACGGUCGCAAGAUUAAAACUCAAAGGAAUAGACGGGGACCCGCACAAGCGGUGGAGCAUGUGGUUUAAUUCGAAGAUACGCGAAGAACCUUACCUGGGCUUGAUAUCCUAAGAACCUUUUAGAGAUAAGAGGGUGCUAGCUUGCUAGAACUUAGAGACAGGUGCUGCACGGCUGUCGUCAGCUCGUGUCGUGAGAUGUUGGGUUAAGUCCCGCAACGAGCGCAACCCACGUAUUUAGUUGCUAACGGUUCGGCCGAGCACUCUAAAUAGACUGCCUUCGUAAGGAGGAGGAAGGUGUGGACGACGUCAAGUCAUCAUGGCCCUUAUGCCCAGGGCGACACACGUGCUACAAUGGCAUAUACAAUGAGACGCAAUACCGCGAGGUGGAGCAAAUCUAUAAAAUAUGUCCCAGUUCGGAUUGUUCUCUGCAACUCGAGAGCAUGAAGCCGGAAUCGCUAGUAAUCGUAGAUCAGCCAUGCUACGGUGAAUACGUUCCCGGGUCUUGUACUCACCGCCCGUCACACCAUGGGAGUUGAUUUCACUCGAAGCCGGAAUACUAAACUAGUUACCGUCCACAGUGGAAUCAGCGACUGGGGUGAAGUCGUAACAAGGUAACCGUAGGAGAACCUGCGGUUGGAUCACCUCCUUUCUA